CCUACGGGUGGCAGCAGUGGGGAAUAUUGGACAAUGGGGGCAACCCUGAUCCAGCGACGCCGCGUGAGUGAAGAAGUCUUUCGGUAUGUAAAGCUCUAUCAGCAGGGAAGAAAAUGACGGUACCUGUCUAAUAAGCCACGGCUAACUACGUGACAGCAGCCGCGGUAAUACGUAGGGGGCACGCGUUAUCCGGAUGGACUGGGGGUAAAGGGAACGUAGACGGUGCAGCAAGUCUGAUGUGAAAGGUCGGGGCCCAACCCCGGGACUGCAUUGGAAACUGGUGAACUGGAGUACAGUAGAGGUAAGCGGAAUUCGUGGUGUAGCGGUGAAAUGCGUAGAUAUUAGGAGGAACACCAGUGGCGAAGGCGGCUUACUGGACUGUAACUGACGUUGAGGCUCGAAAGCGUGGGGAGCAAACAGGAUUAGAUACCCGAGUAGUC
This 440-nucleotide ribosomal RNA is filed under the name uncultured bacterium. Its description in RNAcentral is "partial 16S ribosomal RNA". It matches the Rfam family "Bacterial small subunit ribosomal RNA", at positions 338 to 795 of the family's 1533-position model. The record is from RNAcentral.